GCCUGGUUCUGCUUGAGGUUUCUUCCUGUUAAAAGGGAGUUUUAAAUAAAAUUGAAUUGAAUUAAAUUCUGUUGCUAUAACAUAAAAGUAUAAUGUAAAGGGCUGCAUUAAAAUUUUAAGUUAAGUCAAGAAAUAGAGUUUGUUCUUUUGUUCUUGACUGAGAACCUUCACAGACAGAGUUUGUUCUUGUAACACAACCUUACCUUAUGUUAUGUUGAUGAAAAAUCACGCGUUGUCUAAACUUUUGUCUUAGUUUAGUUGAGUGAGGUUUUUUAGUCAGGUUAACUACUUUAAUAGUCAUUUUUACUUGUAAAACUAUUUCAGCUAAAUUUAACAACACAUUCUCACUCCUAACUUGUCAAAUGUGUGACGCAUGGUCAGGCUCCCUCUGCUUCACUUACCGACGCGCCGGGUACCCCCCUCGCGUCGAGAAUUGACGUGGUGGGUCCUCUUAUUGAAUACUAUAGAGCUCCCUAGCCUGUUGUCCGUAUAUUUAUAUAUUUCCGAAAUCACAUUGUAGUGACGUAUACUGAACACAAUAAAUUACAUAAUGUAAACAACUACCUGAGAAACAGCAGAUACAGCAAAUAAAUUAAAUACAGGCCAUUACUUUUGUAUCGUUUAUUGCAUUGAUGGAGGGAGUGAUGUAGCUGGGUAAUGGCACAGCUAGCGACUGGGUGACUAUAUUCACCCGCUUCGGAUGUUAUCAGUCUACAAUGGGCGUUAUUAGCAGAAAUCAGUCCCAUAUCUCCACCUGCUAGAUUGUUCAGAAGGUUGUUAUCAUCCAUCCAGAUGGAGGAUCACUGACAGGAGCGUGGGAAGACUCCAGAAUCCACUCUGGCUGGAAUCCGGUGGAUACAGCAGUGUUACAGAACAGUUCUCCACAGUCACUGUCCACAUGGGUCAGUGGGACCAAGCAGCACUCUGCUAAUGUGUGGACUCUGACCAGCAACAUCCAGCAAGACCCAGACAGCGUUUUCUAUCUCCCAGCUGGAGUUUUUUGUUUGUCUGUGACUGGAGAGUCAGAUUUUUGUUGAGGCUGGAGGAACAGCCUCACACUGGCAGAGGUAAGUCAGUUUGCAGAGAUCCCUCCCUCCAAGCGGAAGCGAAUGGAUGGAUGGAUGGACACAGUAAUGUGAAGUAUGCUUAUAUCUAGUAUAACUGAACCAACGUGGUGCUCUUCAUUUAUGGAGGCUGUUUGAGUCUGAAUGUUGGAUGUUGUGUAUCUCGUGUUCUCUGGGCUUUGUUGUCCUCAGUCUCUUUGCAGGAUCAGAAAACAAAACCAGGAGGCGCGUAAAUGUUUCUUCUCCAAUUGGAUGAUGAUAAGACCAUGACACGGGAUGCCACCUUUAGUCUUCUGAUGAAGCAAAGCUCAGGAAGAAGUGUGAUUAAAUGGUAUCCACAUGUGUGCUGCUGAGGAGGAUGUACAGGGGUACCUGCAGCCAAAUCCAAGCCUCUUCAGCAACAGAUGGUGACGGUGUGGAGAGACGGUGGUGUUUCCUCAGAAGAACUAGCAGAGUCACAAAGGGCACCAGUCCAUCUCACCGCCUUGACUUGCUGACUGAUGCUUGUCUGCACCGCACAUUCCCCCCCCUCUGUCCCCUUCUGGCUGCCUCUGCCUCAAUUUUAUCCCACAACUUAGACAUUCACAUUACUCACACUCUCAUUACACAUACAUAUAGGAUCUUGGGG
Oreochromis aureus is the source of this 1692-nucleotide long non-coding RNA. RefSeq lists it as uncharacterized. The record is from RefSeq and is a predicted model, not a curated record. The transcript has 3 exons. NCBI's taxonomy places the organism in Eukaryota, Metazoa, Chordata, Actinopteri, Cichliformes, Cichlidae.